Long non-coding RNA from Coccinella septempunctata (seven-spotted ladybird), 1212 nucleotides. RefSeq lists it as uncharacterized. The record is from RefSeq and is a predicted model, not a curated record. Lineage: Eukaryota; Metazoa; Arthropoda; Insecta; Coleoptera; Coccinellidae. The transcript is spliced from 2 exons.
UUGCAAUUUUCGAUAUUACGAAACCACCUCAGUUAAGCACCGUUCAUAACCUUCGUUUUGGCCCUGAAUAUUUUCAGUAAUUUCGUGAUUUUUAGCGUUGAAAUUGCCAAAAUAAAUUUAUAUUAGGAAAGUCGAGGUCACUUUUCAGCCAAAACUAACUUAAAAUUUUAAAAUUUCCAUAAUUUUUCAAUUCCUAUAACGUGUUUUCCUGUCAAGUGUUCAAGGGAUCCUUAGGCCAGUUUAAUUUGACUGUUGACAGACCGUGAAAAAAUUGAUGCAAAUUUUUAAGGUUUAAUUAUUAUUGAAAUUAAAGGAUAUAUUCAAUAUAUUUACUACAUUUCUCCCCGUACGAUAAAACUUCAAAGCUCUCAUCACAGUUGAACUUUUUUCCAUAAUCGGAAAGUUAGGUUAUUAUUGAAUUCUGAGAUAUAAAACACAGUUCUUGGACGUGAAUCUGUAUGAGAUAUCGGAUAUUAUAACUGAUAGUAUAUUUUGUCACUAAUAAUACUUAUUUUUUUCAGGCACAUAUCAAUUUAUGAGAUACAGAAAUGAAAAAAUCCUAGGAUGGCAAUUAUCAUCCCUCGGAGAGACUGUAUUAGGAAUAAAAAACCUUCUUCAGGGGUAAAGUCCUGAAGCAGUUCGUUCAGGAGAGCUUCUAUUUGAAAUAUAUGAUCUAUUUUUCAAGUUUACAUAAUGUAUUUCAUAUUAAAUUACAUACAAACUCAUAGAAUGACAAAUAUGUUUACUUUGUGUAUAAAUAUGAGAAUUUAUAGAUAACAACCUGUUCUUGGGGGCACACAUGAAUUUGUCAGAUCAUGAAAUGUAAAGCAAUGUCAAAAAAGCAUGUGUAUCGGUGAGAGUUUAUUGAAGUAGGAAAGGUUCUUCAUGGAUAAGCUUCUAGAGCAAUUCGUUCAGGAGAGUCUUUAUUUGAAGUAUAUGAUCUAUUUUUCAAGUUCUCUUAAUAUAUUUCAGAUUAAUUACAUGCAAACUCAUAGAAUGACAAAUAUCGUUUUUUCAGGUAUAUAAACAUGCGAUUUUAUACAUAACACACCGUUCUUGGGGCUAAGUCUGUAUAGAAAAUCAACCAGGAGGUUCUGUUUUUCAUAAUUAAUAUUCAGUUUCAGGCACACAUAAAUUUAUCAGAUCAUGAAAUGUCAUGUCAAAAAAGCAUGUAUCGGAGAGAGUUAAUUGAAAUAAAAAAGGUUCUUCAUG